UAUACAACUUUCAGCAACGGAUCUCUUGGCUCUCGCAUCGAUGAAGAACGCAGCGAAACGCGAUAAGUAAUGUGAAGUGCAGAAUUCAGUGAAUCAUCGAAUCUUUGAACGCACCUUGCGCCCUUUGGUAUUCCGAAGGGCAUGCCUGUUUGAGUGCC
Molecule: ribosomal RNA, 158 nt
Filed under: Postia sericeomollis
Lineage: Eukaryota; Fungi; Basidiomycota; Agaricomycetes; Polyporales; Postiaceae
Description: 5.8S ribosomal RNA
Rfam family: 5.8S ribosomal RNA
About the family: 5.8S ribosomal RNA (5.8S rRNA) is a component of the large subunit of the eukaryotic ribosome. It is transcribed by RNA polymerase I as part of the 45S precursor that also contains 18S and 28S rRNA.
Source: RNAcentral